GGGGACGAUUUUGGAUUCGACAAGAUUCGCGAAACCCUAGGAGCAUGCCGAGGGGCGGUUGGCCUCGUAAAAAGCCGCAUUGUUAUAGUUGCAAACGACGAUAACUACGCUCUAGCAGCUUAGGCUCGCUAGCCAUCACCCACAAGUCUUUCGCAUGGGCAGUGGAUUCGAUGGUCACCCUACAUCGCGAUAGCGAGGGAUACCCGCCUGGGGUUGAACCGCGAAACAGUACCAGGCUCGCCAAUGUUAAUCCUGUUUGUCGGAGUGCCAUUGGUUAACCAAUAGACAAACUAAGCAUGUAGCGCCGAGGAUGUAGGUUUUUUGGACGCGGGUUCGAGCCCCGCCGUCUCCACCA
RNAcentral lists this small RNA (355 nucleotides) under Paraferrimonas sedimenticola. RNAcentral's name for it is "Standard tmRNA". It matches the Rfam family "transfer-messenger RNA". Rfam says of the family: Bacterial tmRNA, also known as 10Sa RNA or SsrA, is named for its dual tRNA and mRNA-like properties. Its role is to liberate the mRNA from a stalled ribosome. Lineage: Bacteria; Pseudomonadati; Pseudomonadota; Gammaproteobacteria; Alteromonadales; Ferrimonadaceae. The record is from Rfam by way of RNAcentral.